RNAcentral lists this long non-coding RNA (2610 nucleotides) under Pelobates cultripes (western spadefoot toad). The record is from RNAcentral. Lineage: Eukaryota; Metazoa; Chordata; Amphibia; Anura; Pelobatidae.
UUUGAAGAUGGCAACCACCAAAAUACUCUGACCUGUGUCAAGCUGCAGCGGCAAGUGAUGUCAUAGACAGGGCCUUUUGAACACCUGCUAAUGUUUUUAUAAAUGUAUGGUUUAAUGUAACUGUGCAACAACGUUGCAAUUAAAUGUGCUAUGUAAAUGAUAACAGUUACUCGCCCACUCCAGUUGUAGACUACUGGUGGAGGCAAGAACACUUCACACAAUUUCACCAGAAAUUGUAGCUUUUCUAGUUAAGUGUUCUUGCAUAGCAAGACCACUUAAUGUUAUCUCACAUAUAUAUUAUUAUUAUUCUUAUUAUAGCAAAAUUUGCCACCCUAACUCCUCCCACAGUUUUUACACUACAUAGACAAAAAUUUACCAAAACGUGCAGAUUGUUUCCGAUCGGAUUGCUAUUACUUUGUGGAACGUUUCGCCGAAUGGUUCACGGAAUAUCGUCGUUCUUGUGGCGAGAUUUGUCCCAUAGGAAUGAAUGGCAAAGCUAGAGUGGUAGCUGCCAAAAGCUGAAAAAUCAGGACAUGAUUUCUAAACUGCCACCACUCCCUCAUUUUCAAGCCCAGCUACACAAAUCUUAUAUCAAAACGUUCAGCUAUCCCUGCUGCCACUAAACAUGUAAACGGCUAAGCCGUAGUCCUGAUAGUUUUCACAAUAUGACCAUUUGUUUGCAACCAACGCCGUCCAUUGACAUUCAUUGAAACUUCACUCUGCAAAGCUCAAAUUUGAAGUGUAAUUUCUAAACUGUGACUGUGCCUUCAUUUUUAAUACUUCAGAGACAUACUAUGCAUCAAAAUGUAGGUCUGGGUCUUGUGAUUCUCACAAUAUAAAGCUCUUCGCUGUAGGAUGUAUAGUUUUUAAGAUACGACCGUUUGAAGAUGGCAACAGCCAAAAUACUCUGACCUGUGUCAAGCUGCAGCAGCAAGUGAUGUCAUAGACAAGGCCUUUUGAACACCUGCUAAUGUUUUAUAAAUGUAUGGUUUAAUGUAACUGUGCAACAACGUUGCAAUUAAAUGUGCUAUGUAAAUGAUAACAGUUACUCCGCCCACUCCAGUUGUAGACUACAGGUGGAGGCAAGAACACUUCACACAAUUUCCCCAGAAAUUGUAGCUUUUCUAGUUAUUUCCUUGUAAUGUCCCUUUGUUGGUCUCUGGUCUCCCACUUCCAAAAACAAAUUUCCCAGAAUACUACAGUGAUGGCCUACCAUUAGAUACAUUUGCACAUUACAAACUGCAAUCAUGGCAUUUAGCCCAUACAAGAACUCUACAAAACAGUGUAUGGAAGUAGGUCUGGCCAGCGUGGGUGCCAACUAGCCUGGUGUGUAUGGCUCUAACCCACCACUUUCUUUCAGGUAAUCCUGCCUCUAUGGUAUCCCCAAAGAGACACAUGCAAUCACUGGUUGGCCUUGCCAAACUUUUGGUCUAAGGUUCAAACCUUCCAAUAUUGGGGAUAUGUGAUGCCCCCAAUUGCUUCUGCAACUACCAACUGCUUCUACGUGUUCAUCCUAUAGUUGAUGAAAAGCAAACCAAAGUGCCUAUUUAUGGAAACGUAUUGUAGUAAAUGGUACUGUUCAUUCUUUUUCUACUAUGGAAACUACAAAGUCUGCUUUUUUAUACGUAUUUAGUAACUUUUUUCUAUCUAUCUAUCUUUAAUAUAUAUGUGUGUUUGUGUGUAUAUGUAUAUAUGAACAAAAUCUACGAAAAUGAAAAAAUGGUGUAGGGAAAAUGUUUACUAUUUUUAUAUGUAUUUCUGGAAUCUACAGAAAACCAACUGUUUUCCUUUUUUAUGACUAGUUACUUGUGAGAGUCUGGGGCAGUUUAUGCUUGUUUCUGUUUUUGGAAAAAAUGCAUCGGGUAAUUUCUUUGUGAGUUCUACAGAGAUUUUAAUCCAAAGUAUACGAACAGAAUUAGCUUCUUGUUAAUAUUAUGGUUCAGACAGUAAUUUCAAGUGUUUUGUAGUAAACUGGACUGUAUUUCCCAAAUUAGAGAUUGAUAAUGUAAGUACUUAACAUAGAUGGAAAUAAGUGAGGUCUCUUAAUUUUACAAGGGAUCAAGUGGAAACUUUAUCUUGGAAUUUAUGAACUUGUAAAUUAACUACCGGUAAAUAAUGUUAAAGUAAAAAAAAAAACUAAACAAAACACAAAACUUUAGUGGAUCAAGUGAAACUACUGAUUUUAGGCUUCAUAACUCCAAAUGGAGAAACAAAGGAAAACAAAAUAUACUAGAGGUAUAGAUUUAAAAACUUUUUUUUAUGUGAUGAAUACAUUUUUUUUCUCAUCUUAAACCAUGCUCAUUACACAUAUCAAUAAGGUGAUUUUUUUCAUUUUGAUUUUCUCCCUUGCACAAACCGUAUGUAUAGUUUCCUGGGCAAUCAAGGACCUUUCAUAUAUCUCAUUUAAUGCUGCCUUAGUUGAGUGCUGUAUAUAGUAUUAUUUUUUUUGCUUAAUGACAAACUGUAAUACAGUAGUGUAUAAUUUGUGCAGUGCUGGACUUUAUCAAACUGUUUGAAGUUGUGUUAUAACAUUAACUGUUGCUUACAAAGCACAAUGCAAAAAUGUUGGAUUUUUUUGCAAAUGAGCCUAAUAAAGUCUUUAAAAAAAUA